CCUACGGGAGGCAGCAGUAGGGAAUCUUCCACAAUGGGCGAAAGCCUGAUGGAGCAACGCCGCGUGGGUGAAGAAGGUCUUCGGAUCGUAAAACCCUGUUGUUAGAGAAGAAAGUGCGUGAGAGUAACUGUUCACGUGUCGACGGUAUCUAACCAGAAAGCCACGGCUAACUACGUGCCAGCAGCCGCGGUAAUACGUAGGUGGCAAGCGUUAUCCGGAUUUAUUGGGCGUAAAGGGAACGCAGGCGGUCUUUUAAGUCUGAUGUGAAAGCCUUCGGCUUAACCGGAGUAGUGCAUUGGAAACUGGGAGACUUGAGUGCAGAAGAGGAGAGUGGAACCCCAUGUGUAGCGGUGAAAUGCGUAGAUAUAUGGAAGAACACCAGUGGCGAAAGCGGCUCUCUGGUCUGUAACUGACGCUGAGGUUCGAAAGCGUGGGUAGCAAACAGGAUUAGAUACCCGGGUAGUC
RNAcentral lists this ribosomal RNA (465 nucleotides) under uncultured bacterium. RNAcentral's name for it is "partial 16S ribosomal RNA". It matches the Rfam family "Bacterial small subunit ribosomal RNA", at positions 338 to 795 of the family's 1533-position model. The record is from RNAcentral.